UACGGAGGGGGCUAGCGUUAUUCGGAAUUAUUGGGCGUAAGGGCGUGUAGGCGGCUAGGUAAGUCAAAGGUGAAACCCCCCGGCUCAACCGAGGAACUGCCUUUGAAACUGCCUGGCUUGAGGCCGGGAGAGGGUAGUGGAAUUCCCAGUGUAGCGGUGAAAUGCGUAGAUAUUGGGAGGAACACCGGUGGCGAAGGCGGCUACCUGGACCGGUUCUGACGCUGAGGCGCGAAAGCGUGGGGAGCAAACAGG
Molecule: ribosomal RNA, 252 nt
Filed under: uncultured bacterium
Lineage: Bacteria
Description: partial 16S ribosomal RNA
Rfam family: Bacterial small subunit ribosomal RNA
Source: RNAcentral